RNAcentral lists this ribosomal RNA (1025 nucleotides) under uncultured bacterium. RNAcentral describes it as "bacterial SSU rRNA". It matches the Rfam family "Bacterial small subunit ribosomal RNA", at positions 504 to 1533 of the family's 1533-position model. The record is from RNAcentral.
GGUGCCAGCAGCCGCGGUAAUACGUAGGGUGCAAGCGUUAAUCGGAAUUACUGGGCGUAAAGCGUGCGCAGGCGGUUUUGUAAGUCAGAUGUGAAAUCCCCGAGCUCAACUUGGGAACUGCGUUUGAAACUACAAGACUAGAAUAUGUCAGAGGGGGGUAGAAUUCCACGUGUAGCAGUGAAAUGCGUAGAGAUGUGGAGGAAUACCAAUGGCGAAGGCAGCCCCCUGGGAUAAUAUUGACGCUCAUGCACGAAAGCGUGGGGAGCGAACAGGAUUAGAUACCCUGGUAGUCCACGCCCUAAACGAUGUCAACUAGUUGUUGGUGGAGUAAAAUCCAUGAGUAACGUAGCUAACGCGUGAAGUUGACCGCCUGGGGAGUACGGUCGCAAGAUUAAAACUCAAAUGAAUUGACGGGGGCCCGCACAAGCGGUGGAUUAUGUGGAUUAAUUCGAUGCAACGCGAAAAACCUUACCUGGCCUUGACAUGUACGGAACUUUCCAGAGAUGGAUUGGUGCCUUCGGGAACCGUAACACAGGUGCUGCAUGGCUGUCGUCAGCUCGUGUCGUGAGAUGUUGGGUUAAGUCCCGCAACGAGCGCAACCCUUGCCAAUAAUUGCCAUCAUUUAGUUGGGCACUUUAUUGGGACUGCCGGUGACAAACCGGAGGAAGGUGGGGAUGACGUCAAGUCCUCAUGGCCCUUAUGGCCAGGGCUUCACACGUAAUACAAUGGUCGGUACAGAGGGUCGCCAAGCCGCGAGGUGGAGCCAAUCCCAGAAAGCCGAUCGUAGUCCGGAUUGUUCUCUGCAACUCGAGAGCAUGAAGUCGGAAUCGCUAGUAAUCGCGGAUCAGCAUGUCGCGGUGAAUACGUUCCCGGGCCUUGUACACACCGCCCGUCACACCAUGGGAGUGGGUUUUACCAGAAGUAGGUAGUCUAACCGCAAGGGGGACGCUUACCACGGUAGUAUUCAUGACUGGGGUGAAGUCGUAACAAGGUAGCCGAAUCUCUGAAGAUCCGCGCGAACCAAU